GCAUAUCAAUAAGCGGAGGAAAAGAAACCAACCGGGAUUGCCUUAGUAACGGCGAGUGAAGCGGCAAAAGCUCAAAUUUGAAAUCUGGUACCUUCGGUGCCCGAGUUGUAAUUUGGAGAGGGCAACUUUGGGGCCGUUCCUUGUCUAUGUUCCUUGGAACAGGACGUCAUAGAGGGUGAGAAUCCCGUGUGGCGAGGAGUGCGGUUCUUUGUAAAGUGCCUUCGAAGAGUCGAGUUGUUUGGGAAUGCAGCUCUAAGUGGGUGGUAAAUUCCAUCUAAAGCUAAAUAUUGGCGAGAGACCGAUAGCGAACAAGUACAGUGAUGGAAAGAUGAAAAGAACUUUGAAAAGAGAGUGAAAAAGUACGUGAAAUUGUUGAAAGGGAAGGGCAUUUGAUCAGACAUGGUGUUUUGUGCCCUCUGCUCCUUGUGGGUAGGGGAAUCUCGCAUUUCACUGGGCCAGCACCAGUUUUGGUGGCAGGAUAAAUCCAUAGGAAUGUAGCUUGCCUCGGUAAGUAUUAUAGCCUGUGGGAAUACUGCCAGCUGGGACUGAGGACUGCGACGUAAGUCAAGGAUGCUGGCAUAAUGGUUAUAUGCCGCCCGUCUUGAAACACGGACC
Molecule: ribosomal RNA, 615 nt
Filed under: uncultured yeast
Lineage: Eukaryota; Fungi
Description: eukaryotic LSU rRNA
Rfam family: Eukaryotic large subunit ribosomal RNA
Source: RNAcentral